RNAcentral lists this ribosomal RNA (403 nucleotides) under uncultured bacterium. RNAcentral describes it as "partial 16S ribosomal RNA". It matches the Rfam family "Bacterial small subunit ribosomal RNA", at positions 28 to 526 of the family's 1533-position model. The record is from RNAcentral.
GACGAACGCUGGCGGCGUGCCUAAUACAUGCAAGUCGAACGCAGUGGGGACGGGUGAUUAACACGUGGGUAACCUCCCAUCAGAGGGGAUAACACUUGGAAACAGGUGCUAAACCGAUACUGAUGGAUGGACCCGCGGUGCAUUAGCGAGUGGGGGGGGUAACGGCCCACCAAGGCCACGAUGCAUAGCCGGCCUGAGCGGGUGAGCGGCCACACUGGAACUGAGACACGGCCCAGACUCCUACGGGAGGAAGCAGUGGGGAAUCUUCGGCAAUGGACGAAAGCCUGACCGAGCAACGCCGCGUGGGUGAAGAAGGUUUUCGGAUCGUAAAACUCUGUUGUUAGAGAAGCGGUAUCUAACCAGAAAGCCACGGCUAACUACGUGCCAGCAGCCGCGGUAAUUC